RNAcentral lists this ribosomal RNA (253 nucleotides) under uncultured bacterium. RNAcentral's name for it is "partial 16S ribosomal RNA". It matches the Rfam family "Bacterial small subunit ribosomal RNA", at positions 524 to 776 of the family's 1533-position model. The record is from RNAcentral.
UACGUAGGGAGCAAGCGUUGUCCGGAAUCAUUGGGCGUAAAGCGCGCGUAGGCGGCCCCGUAAGUCCGCUGUGAAAGUCAAAGGCUCAACCUUUGAAAGCCGGUGGAUACUGUGGGGCUAGAGUCCGGAAGAGGCGAGUGGAAUUCCUGGUGUAGCGGUGAAAUGCGUAGAUAUCGAGAGGAACACCAGUGGCGAAGGCGAGUCCCUGGACAACUACUGACACUGAGGCACGAAAGCUAGGGGAGCAAACAGG